Molecule: ribosomal RNA, 496 nt
Filed under: uncultured bacterium
Lineage: Bacteria
Description: partial 16S ribosomal RNA
Rfam family: Bacterial small subunit ribosomal RNA
Source: RNAcentral
GAUGAACGCUGGCGGCGUGCCUAAUACAUGCAAGUCGAGCGAACAGACGAGGAGCUUGCUCCUCUGACGUUAGCGGCGGACGGGUGAGUAACACGUGGAUAAUCUACCUAUAAGACUGGGAUAACUUCGGGAAACCGGAGCUAAUACCGGAUAAUAUAUUGAACCGCAUGGUUCAAUAGUGAAAGACGGUUUUGCUGUCACUUAUAGAUGGAUCCGCGCCGCAUUAGCUAGUUGGUAAGGUAACGGCUUACCAAGGCAACGAUGCGUAGCCGACCUGAGAGGGUGAUCGGCCACACUGGAACUGAGACACGGUCCAGACUCCUACGGGAGGCAGCAGUAGGGAAUCUUCCGCAAUGGGCGAAAGCCUGACGGAGCAACGCCGCGUGAGUGAUGAAGGUCUUCGGAUCGUAAAACUCUGUUAUUAGGGAAGAACAAAUGUGUAAGUAACUAUGCACGUCUUGACGGUACCUAAUCAGAAAGCCACGGCUAACUACGU